UUUCAACUGCACAAGCUGUACCACAAGGAUUUGAGAAGUUUAUUAUUGGACACAAAUCUGUCAGGAACUCCUCUGCUGUUAACUGACCACAGAACAUGGAGCUCAGUGAUACAAUGUUCCUUGCCUGCUUCUGAGCUGCCACAAGAGAGGGAAGAUUAUUUAAGGCACAAAUAGCCUACCUGACCACUGUUGCCUGUCCACUUGCCAUUCCCUAUGAAAUGCAUUUCUCUCUUCUUGGUUUUUGUUCUUCUUCCUGUUCUUGUUUCCUUUUCCUGUGUUU
Molecule: long non-coding RNA, 280 nt
Organism: Homo sapiens (human)
Lineage: Eukaryota; Metazoa; Chordata; Mammalia; Primates; Hominidae
Gene: THAP6-AS1
Product: THAP6 antisense RNA 1
Exons: 2
Source: RefSeq, a predicted model, not a curated record